GAAGGCCGCUAGCUCAAUCGGUAAAGCGCCGGUCUCCAAAACCGGAGGUUCGGGGGCCAAGCUAGCCCUUCGGGCUGACCGGGUCCCCGGCGGUUCGCCA
This 100-nucleotide transfer RNA is filed under the name Thermus brevis. Its description in RNAcentral is "Thermus sp. SYSU G05001 tRNA-Trp". It matches the Rfam family "tRNA". From Rfam's summary of the family: Transfer RNA (tRNA) molecules are approximately 80 nucleotides in length. Lineage: Bacteria; Thermotogati; Deinococcota; Deinococci; Thermales; Thermaceae. The record is from RNAcentral.